RNAcentral lists this long non-coding RNA (682 nucleotides) under Sorghum bicolor (sorghum). RNAcentral's name for it is "long non-coding RNA (SBIC_LNC005959)". Lineage: Eukaryota; Viridiplantae; Streptophyta; Magnoliopsida; Poales; Poaceae. The record is from RNAcentral.
UGAGUCUCUGUCUCUGUCUCUGUCUGACAACGGCGGCGCGGCGGCCGGCGGCGUGCUCUGCUCUGAUUUCUCUAGCUCUCUCUCUCUCUGACGAUUACAGGGACUUCGGCUUCGACCCUCUUGGUCUGGCGACGGUGCCGGAGAACUUCGAGCGGUUCAAGGAGUCGGAGGUGUACCACUGCCGGUGGGCGAUGCUGGCGGUGCCGGGGAUCCUGGUGCCGGAGGCUCUAGGGCUAGGCAACUGGGUGAAGGCGCAGGAGUGGGCGGCCGUCCCCGGCGGCCAGGCGACGUACCUGGGGAACCCGGUGCCGUGGGGGUCGCUGCCGACGAUCCUGGUGAUCGAGUUCGUGGCCAUCGCGUUCGCGGAGCACCAGCGCACCAUGGAGAAAGACCCCGAGAAGAAGAAGUACCCCGGCGGCGCCUUCGACCCGCUGGGAUUCUCCAAGGACCCCGCCAAGUUCGAGGAGUACAAGCUCAAGGAGAUCAAGAACGGCCGCCUCGCCAUGCUCGCGUUCGUCGGCUUCUGCGUGCAGCAGUCGGCGUACCCCGGCACCGGCCCGCUGGAGAACCUCGCGACCCACCUCGCCGACCCGUGGCACAACAACAUCGGCGACAUCAUCAUCCCCAGAUCAAUCUCCCCUUGAGCUCAGAUCAGAUGCAUGUUUUGUACGUGUGUCAUUGC